GCACCACAACAGGUGGAGCCUGCGGUUUAAUCGGACUCAACGCCGGGAAACUCACCAGAUAAGACAGCUGAAUGAUAGUCGGGCUGAAGACUCUACUUGACUAGCUGAGAGGAGGUGCAUGGCCGUCGUCAGUUCGUACUGUGAAGCAUCCUGUUAAGUCAGGCAACGAGCGAGACCCACGCCAACAGUUGCCAGCUCGUCCUCCGGGAUGGUGGGGACACUGUUGGGACCGCCUCUGCUAAAGAGGAGGAAGGAAUGGGGCAACGGUAGGUCAGCAUGCCCCGAAUUAUCUGGGCUACACGCGGGCUACAAUGGGUGGGACAAUGGGUAUCGACACCGAAAGGUGAAGGCAAUCUCCUAAACCCAUCCGUAGUUCGGAUUGUGGGCUGCAACUCGCCCACAUGAAGCUGGAAUCUGUAGUAAUCGUGUCUCAAAAUGGCACGGUGAAUAUGUCCCUGCUCCUU
RNAcentral lists this ribosomal RNA (464 nucleotides) under uncultured Methanomicrobiales archaeon. Its description in RNAcentral is "bacterial SSU rRNA". It matches the Rfam family "Archaeal small subunit ribosomal RNA", at positions 876 to 1338 of the family's 1478-position model. Lineage: Archaea; Methanobacteriati; Methanobacteriota; Methanomicrobia; Methanomicrobiales. The record is from RNAcentral.